Molecule: long non-coding RNA, 210 nt
Organism: Prionailurus viverrinus (fishing cat)
Lineage: Eukaryota; Metazoa; Chordata; Mammalia; Carnivora; Felidae
Exons: 3
Source: RefSeq, a predicted model, not a curated record
GAAUUAUUGGAUCAAAACCUAUGAAUGAACUCAAGGCCUUUGAAAAAUAUUUUCAAAUUGAUUUCAAAAUGGUAUUUGGGAGAGGAAUUCCUGAGUCACCUGUUUAGAGCCAGCCUGUCAGUUUCUACAGUGAAGUCUGCUGGGAUUUUUAUUGCUAUUAUGAAGAAUCUAUGGAUCAAUUUAGUGAGAAUUGGCAUUUUAAGAAUAUUG